AUUACCGAGUUAGGGUCUUCUAGGCCCGACCUCCCAACCCUUUGUUUACUGAACCAUUGUUGCUUCGGUGGGUCCGUCUAACGACCGCCGGGGGACCGCCGUGAGGCACCCCCUGGCCCGCACCCACCGAUAGCCCAACUCUUAAACCCUUUAUAAAUCGUGUCUUGUGUCUGAAUCCAUGAUAAAAAAUCAAAACAAAACUUUCAACAACGGAUCUCUUGGUUCUGGCAUCGAUGAAGAACGCAGCGAAAUGCGAUAAGUAAUGCGAAUUGCAGAAUUCCAGUGAGUCAUCGAAUCUUUGAACGCACAUUGCGCCCUUUGGUAUUCCGAAGGGCAUGCCUGUUCGAGCGUCAUUAUCACCCCUCAAGCCCCUGUGCUUGGUGUUGGACGGUCGGUCGAGGUCCCCCUCGACCCCUCCUAAAGACAAUGACGGCGGCCUGUGGUUCCCCCGGUACACUGAGCUUUUCACCGAGCACGUACCGGACGAGGGCGCCUAGGACCCGGUCUUCUCCUCUCGCGAGGAACUAUUCAUAAGGUUGACCUCGGAUCAGGUAGGAAUACG
RNAcentral lists this ribosomal RNA (562 nucleotides) under fungal sp. E15620D. Its description in RNAcentral is "eukaryotic LSU rRNA". The stretch from base 199 to 353 matches the Rfam family "5.8S ribosomal RNA". The record is from RNAcentral. Lineage: Eukaryota; Fungi.